Molecule: microRNA precursor, 59 nt
Filed under: Strongyloides ratti
Lineage: Eukaryota; Metazoa; Nematoda; Chromadorea; Rhabditida; Strongyloididae
Description: microRNA str-mir-8370 precursor
Source: miRBase by way of RNAcentral
AGAUGCAGGUUGGGUCUUUAUGGAAUCUAUAUCACAUAAGGCACAACGUUGGCAUCUCU